This is a long non-coding RNA of Cicer arietinum (chickpea), 429 nucleotides long. RefSeq lists it as uncharacterized. The record is from RefSeq and is a predicted model, not a curated record. NCBI's taxonomy places the organism in Eukaryota, Viridiplantae, Streptophyta, Magnoliopsida, Fabales, Fabaceae.
AGUUAUGCCUAUGAAUAAUCUUUUUAGCAUUUUCAGUGGAUUUCUCCAUUUGUUCCAAAUGCUUUUGUCUAGCUGUUUCUCUCCAUUCUUCAGCUUUCCUGUGAACCACUGACAUCCUCUUCAUCAACUUCUCUUCCAGGGAAGCAUCAUGGUGAGGAAAAAUCAGAAGUGGAAUAUUGACUCGUCAAGAAAAUAAUAUUAUAAUGGUAUCCAUGAAUUGGGGGUGGCUCGAGGAAAUAAGCCAACAACAUUCUGUUGUAGUCAAAAAUUCAAACUAUGAUCUCGUGUAUAAAACUUGUAUCUAUGUAUACUUAUGAUGUCCUUGGAUUCUACAUUUGUUAAGGACAAAAGUGUACCCAUGUGAGGUGCUAGUAAUUUUAACUUAUAAACUAUCAUAAAUUUUAAAAGAAUCGUCAUGUAAAAAGAGUA